AAUUUUUAAGUUUCCAAACAUAUUGUAAAACAAUCUUUUUAUUAUUGAUUUCUGGUCAACACAUGGUUAGGGAAUGUGGUCUGUAUGGCAUGGAUUCUUUGAAAUGUAUUGAGAUGUCUUCAAUCUCCUAAGGACCUGCAUCAGUUUUUAUAUAUGUUCUAUGUGUGUCUGAAAAGGAUGUAGAGUCUGCAUUUGUUGGUGAAAAAUUCUAUAUUUGUCUAUCAGAUGGGACUUGAUUUUAUUGUUCUAAUCUUCUGCCGUUACUAAUUUUUUUAAUUGGCACAAUCAGUUUCUUCUCUGUGAUUAUUUUUGAUUUUGUUUUGUAUAUUUGAGAUUUUGUUGUUACAUACAUACAUAUUUAUUACUGGUAGAUUUUCUUUUUUCCUUCAACUUUUAAGUGCCGGGUGUACAGAUCAUCCCAUCACCUAGGUAUUAAGCCCAGCAUCCGUUAGCUAUUAUUCCUGUUACUCUUUCUCCUCCCACCACCCCUCCAAUAACAGGCCCCAGUGUGUGUUGUUCCCCUUCCAUGUGUCCAUGUGUUCUCAUCGUUCAGCUCCCACUUAUAAGUGAGAACAUGCAGUGUUUGGUUUUCUGUUCCUGCAUUAGUUUACUGAGGAUAAUGGCUUCCAGCUCCAUCCGUGUCCCUGUAAAGGACAUGGUCUCAAUCCUUUUUAUGGCUGAAUAGUAUUCCAUGGGUAUAUGUACCACAUUUUCUUUAUCCUAUGACUGGUAAUUUUUUUCCAUUAAGCUUUAUAUAAUGUCAUUCUUUGUCCCUGUUGAUGCUUUUCCUUUACUUUUAAUUUUGUCUGAUUUAAAUGUCACUCCCAGAACUCUGUUUCUUUCUACUAGGUUUCUCAUAGAAUAUAUUUUCCACUCAUUUAUUUCUAAUCUCAGUCUCGCUCUGCAUGGGUAUGUGUGCUUUACAUGUCUUUUGUAAGCAGCAUAGAGCUGCAUUUUAACAAAACUUAAAUUUUAUUUAUUUUUGAAAUAUGUGAUUCCUCAUAUAUUGUCAAAUUCUAAGUAUACUAAAGAGUAAACAGUGAACGAUCUCUCUCUCAUCUCUUUUUCCCAUCUCCCCAGUCUUUCUCUCCAGAGGUAGCCAAUAUUAACAGUUUCUUGCUGCAAAUAAUCAUUGUGAAUAUAAGUAAAUAUAUUCUGUAUAUUCAUUCCUUUUAUGGUGGCAGUAUAGGCACUGCUAAGUACUUUGUUUUUUCAUUUAUUAGCAAUUUAACUGUGAAUAAAGAGCUUCCUCAUUCUU
This 1258-nucleotide long non-coding RNA is filed under the name Homo sapiens (human). RNAcentral's name for it is "HSALNT0345889". The record is from RNAcentral. Lineage: Eukaryota; Metazoa; Chordata; Mammalia; Primates; Hominidae.